GUGCCAGCAGCCGCGGUAAGACGAACCGUGCGAACGUUAUUCGGAAUCACUGGGCUUAAAGCGCGUGUAGGCGGGUGGCCGCGUCGACGGCUGAAAGCCCCCGGCUCAACCGGGGGAGUGGCCUCGAAACGGGCCGCCUGGAGGGGCGUAGGGGGAGCUGGAACUCACGGUGGAGCGGUGAAAUGCGUUGAGAUCGUGAGGAACGCCCGCGGCGAAAGCGAGCUCCUGGACGCCUGCUGACGCUGAGACGCGAAAGCCAGGGGAGCGAACGGGAUUAGAUACCCCAGUAGUCC
Molecule: ribosomal RNA, 293 nt
Filed under: uncultured bacterium
Lineage: Bacteria
Description: partial 16S ribosomal RNA
Rfam family: Bacterial small subunit ribosomal RNA
Source: RNAcentral